AUGGUUUGUGUUUCAGAUGACCUGGAGGCUGUUUCAGUCAGGCAGUUCAUCAAACACAUCAUGGAGCAGUACUCCAACAACCAACAUGGCUUUUCUCAGGAGUUCGAUGAGGUUCAACACUGCACAUCUGAAAUGAAGAUUACAGCAGAACGUUCAAACCAACCAGACAACAAGCACAAAAACAGAUACAUCAACAUUGUUGCCUAUGACCACAGCAGAGUGAAGUUGCAGCAACUGUCUGGGAAAGACUCCAAGCACAGUGAUUACAUCAAUGCCAACUAUGUAGACGGUUAUAAAAGACCCAGGGCUUAUAUAGCAGCUCAGGGCCCUCUGAAGUCCACAUUUGAGGACUUUUGGAGAAUGAUUUGGGAACAGAACACCACUGUGAUUGUCAUGAUCACCAACUUGGUGGAGAAAGGCAGGAGAAAAUGCGAUCAGUAUUGGCCAUCAGAGAACAGCGAGGUUUAUGGGAACAUAAUGGUGACUCUGAAGAGCACUAAAGUUUAUGCUUACUACACACUCCGCCAUUUCAUCAUGCGCAACACCAAACUGAAAAAGGGUCAGAAGGGAAGGCAUAACGAACGGCUGGUUGUCCAGUACCAUUACACACAGUGGCCAGACAUGGGCGUACCCGAGUAUACACUACCAGUCCUCAAAUUCAUCUCUCGAUCUUCAGCAGCCCGUACGCCAGGCACAGGCCCUGUUCUAGUUCACUGCAGUGCUGGAGUUGGCAGAACAGGCACAUACAUAGUCAUAGACAGCAUGCUGCAGCAGAUAAAGGACAACGGCACUGUCAACGUCCUAGGAUACCUCAAGCACAUCCGAGCUCAGCGCAACUACUUGGUCCAGACUGAGGAGCAGUUUAUCUUUAUCCAUGAUGCAUUAAUGGAAGCUGUGCUUGGCAAAGACACCGAGGUGCCUGUCUGGCAACUCCAUAGUUAUGUCAACAGCAUUCUCACCUCGAGCCCCACAGGACAAACACGCAUGGACAAACAAUUUAAGUUGUUGACGCAAUGCAAUUCUCACCUCACUGAGUGUUUCAGUGCCCAGAAAGACUGCAACAAAGAGAAGAACCGCACCUCGUCGGUCUUGCCAAGUGAGUCAAUGAAAUCAAUGUUUAUCCACUCACAGGGCUAUUACAGGAGCAACGAGUUCAUCAUUACCCAGCAUCCUCUGCCCCACACAACCACAGACUUCUGGAGGAUGAUCUGGGAUCAUAAUGCUCAAGUUAUUGUGAUGUUGCCAGACAACCUCGGCCUUGAUGAAUUUGUGUACUGGCCCAGCAGAGAGGAGCCCAUGAACUGCGUAGCUUUCACUGUCACCCUCAUUAAUACUGACAGACUCUGCUUAUCUAAUGAGGAGCAACUCAUCAUCCACGACUUCAUCCUAGAAGCCACACAGGAUGACUAUGUGCUAGAAGUCCGACAUUUUCAAUGUCCAAACUGGCCAGAUCCUGAUGCAUCCAUCAGCAGCACAUUUGAGCUCAUCAACAUCAUCAAAGAAGAGGCUAUGGCAAGGGAUGGUCCCACCAUCGUGCAUGAUGAGUUUGGCGCCAUCUCUGCCGGGAUGUUCUGUGCUCUGACCACACUUUCCCAACAACUGGAGAACGAGAGUGCUGUGGAUGUCUAUCAAGUGGCCAAAAUGAUUAACCUCAUGAGGCCUGGCGUCUUCACUGAAAUUGAGCACUAUCACAACCUUUACAAGGCUAUGCUCAGCCUUGUCAGCAGUAAAGACUUCAGACUUGGCUUCAACUACAUGGACAAAAUUGCUGGGAUAGUGGUAACAGAUGAAUCCAACCAGGCUGAGAGCAUGGAGUCCUUGGUGUGAAGUUUUCGGGAAAAUGAGAUGGAACAAAGUGGUUCCUUGAACUUUCCAUGAGGCCUUUUUUCCCAGACUCUUGGUGAAAUAAAAAAGAAAAAAACAACA
RNAcentral lists this long non-coding RNA (1926 nucleotides) under Sinocyclocheilus grahami. RNAcentral's name for it is "lncRNA (ENSSGRG00000036162.1)". Lineage: Eukaryota; Metazoa; Chordata; Actinopteri; Cypriniformes; Cyprinidae. The record is from RNAcentral.